Molecule: long non-coding RNA, 1589 nt
Organism: Alosa sapidissima (American shad)
Lineage: Eukaryota; Metazoa; Chordata; Actinopteri; Clupeiformes; Clupeidae
Exons: 3
Source: RefSeq, a predicted model, not a curated record
GGCAGACUAACUGCUGUACCAAGUUUGUCCUCCUGUUCUCACCGUAGCUCCUCUCCUAUCGGUCACGCCCUCCAGUUAGCUUGCAGGUGGCUAUGUACUCAUUAGCGUCAAUGGCACUUUCUAUAAGACCGGCACCGGAGGUGGGCUAGUAAGUGAUCCCUAGGCUCCGUACGUCCUCCCUACACUGUGUUCGCUGUGCUGUCACCUAUGAAAGGUAUUUGGCUGUGUACCAGACGCUUCCGGGUAGUGUUUUGUUGAUCUACCGAAGGUCUUGACUGAAAAGACGCCGUGUACGCGCAGGUUGCACUUUCUAUUGGGAGAUGCGUUAAGGUAACAUUGGCUGUAUAUCUCAGUAAGGUUUGCCAUGUAAUAUGUGUGUGUGCAUGUGUACAUAUGUAUGUUUAUAUGCAUGUUUACAGUAACUGGAUCUACUAUAAUGUGUCAUGUUUCGCUGUAAGUCCUUGUGAUUUAACUAGCCAAUAACCUUUUAUUAUGUUGUAUGUGAGCGAUGCUUGUGUGUGAUUUUAUGUAGGUUUGCGUACUGGAGAGAUACCAGGGAGUCCCAUUUCCAUUCAUGUUGAGUGCUGUAUUCCUAGAGGUAAAAGGAAACCGUGUUGUAUUGUAUCUGUAUUGGUUUAGGCUGUAUUUACCAUAAACAAUGGAUUUUAACUGUGUUUGUUUACUCCUUUAGAAAGAUUGCCACUGCUGCUUUGCCUCCUGUAGAUUUAAGUAAUUGUAGCUCUUGCCUCAUUUUGUUUUCUUUCUUUUGUUUUGUUUGUCCGAUUGAUUUGGCCUAAACAUAGGCGUGGCUGGUUUCAUUUAUUUGCCCUCCGUCGUGGUGUGUCGGCAACAGGUGUGGUAUUGGCUGCCCCAGUAUUUUGCUGCGGUAAUGUGUGAUGGUAGUAAUGCUAACAUCUAGCUUUCUUGACCCAGCCAGUUAUUGCCAAUAGCAACCAUAUCUUCCCUUCUCCCCUCCAGAGAAACAGAGUGUUGCAGCUGUUCCGCGGGGCAGGUUGCCGGAUCUGAGUCCUCCUCUUCGUGUACUUCACACAGUAUUUGUAGUGGUAACGUGCACCUCACUAUUUGCAGUGAUCACUCUUUGUAGUACCUGUGCCUAUGCGAGCGUGUGUGUGUGUGUGUGUGUGUGUGUGUCUGUGAAUAGGCAACAGAAUCCGCAGCACGGGUGGUGUGUCGGUCUCACUCCUCUUCCAGGACAGGUAACCGCUCCCGAACAGCUGAUCAAAUUAACCCUACUUGAUUACAUGUAAUAUUCCUGGUGGCAGCCACUACCUUCCUCUUGCUGGCCUAUUGGGCCUAAUAUGUACUGCACUCCAUCCUGAGAAUCAAACCCAAGACUGACUUUUUAACUGAAUUGCUUGUGAAUAAAUAUUGUUUAUUUUUUCAUUGAAAUACCACGUCUCUGUCAUUACUGGCUUAUCUGUGUGCGAGAGCCCUCUUGUCUAAAUCAAGGUGUUGGAGGUCUAGCUAAAAUACAUCUUGGUGUGAAAGGCCCCAAGUGGCGUAGUCGAGCACUCUAUAGUCAAGACUCUUGUCAUCUGACUCCCGUGGUCACAAUCUGGCGUAGUCGG